CGGACGGGUGAGUAACGCGUGAGCAACCUGCCUUUCAGUGGGGGACAACAGUUGGAAACGACUGCUAAUACCGCAUAAUAUCCUUUUGGGGCAUCCCUUUUGGAUCAAAGAUUUAUUGCUGAAAGAUGGGCUCGCGUCUGAUUAGCUAGUUGGUGGGGUAACGGCCCACCAAGGCGACGAUCAGUAGCCGGACUGAGAGGUUGAACGGCCACAUUGGGACUGAGAUACGGCCCAG
RNAcentral lists this ribosomal RNA (235 nucleotides) under uncultured Bacillota bacterium. RNAcentral's name for it is "uncultured Firmicutes bacterium partial 16S ribosomal RNA". It matches the Rfam family "Bacterial small subunit ribosomal RNA", at positions 99 to 334 of the family's 1533-position model. Lineage: Bacteria; Bacillati; Bacillota. The record is from RNAcentral.